Labrus bergylta (ballan wrasse) is the source of this 295-nucleotide non-coding RNA. The record is from RefSeq and is a predicted model, not a curated record. Lineage: Eukaryota; Metazoa; Chordata; Actinopteri; Labriformes; Labridae.
UAACAAUACUUUGAUUUUGAUUAUUUUCAAUUAGAAAAGUCCAAGUUAUUCUUGUGAAACACAAUAAAGAUGAAACGCUUCAUUUUAUGUGUUGGUGUAGAUGGCAAAGGCCGUGAUGGAGGACUUUCCGGCAUUGCCAGUUAUGUCCUUUGGGACAUCCAAGAAGGAGAUGGCAUUUGAGAGGACAAAGCUUGCACUAUCUUUACUCAGUGGUUCAGUGUUUGACAUGAACAACCACUGUGCUAUGUGCUCGACCUCAAAGCCCCCAGGAUCAGGGCCUCCAACUACUGACAGG